RNA transcript from Schistocerca gregaria, 1193 nucleotides. RefSeq lists it as uncharacterized. NCBI's taxonomy places the organism in Eukaryota, Metazoa, Arthropoda, Insecta, Orthoptera, Acrididae. The record is from RefSeq and is a predicted model, not a curated record. The transcript has 3 exons.
ACAACUAGCGUAGUUUCUGUCAUGUCGAAACGAUGCCCGUAUUUUUACCCUUGUAGUUUACUUUAUUCAGAGUUCCGUAAGCUAAGCGUGGCCACGGAUGUGAACAAGUGGCAAAAAUAUUAUGUUUACAAUAGGCCUACUUGAGUCUAGCAGUUCUCAACAUUGUGGAAAAUAGGACUAGGAGACAAAAAGCUUUAUUGAAAUUUGAUCAGCAACAUUUUAUGCAGUUUUCAACACUCGUAAUCAUGGUACCAGCCAUACUGUGGAAAUCUAUGAAUGGCACAUGUCAUCAUUGACUCAUGCUACCACAAUGGUUAUUCCAGUUGGACUCAACACUCGACUCCUGGGAAGAUAGACUAAAAAUGUAAUCGUUGACAAUGAGCCACAACUACUCGCAAAAGUGUUAUGAAAAAGUGGACCAACGUUCGGGAUUCAUUUCAUAAAAGCGAAAGGAAGAACACUUCUUCCUUUAAAUCAAGAUAUGGAAAACAGACAACUUCAACAUACAUUUACGGACAUGAAUUACAGUUUUUAAAGAAAGCGUCCUGCGGAUGUCCUACUGAACUCAGUAUGCCAGUCGUUAAUGAAGAGUCCGCUGAUUCUGACUGUAUCACUGACUCUUGCAGUGAGGAAGACAGUGAAGAGAAGGAAACAGUCACAAAAAAUAAGAGAAAGCAUAAACAAGAUACCGUGGAACAGCGGAUGGUGGACGUUUCUAAACAACAUUCAGAUCGCCAUAUAUCGUUUUUCAGAGGUAUAAUUCCAUCUUUAGAAACAUUCGACGAUGAUGAGAUAGUAGAAUUUCAGCUAAAUGUUCUUCAGAUCAUUGCAAACAUUAAAAAACGGAAAAGGACAUCAACAAAUAUUAAUGAAGCUAUAAACGUUUCCCAGCAUCGACAGGCACAAAGCCCGUCUCUACCUGUUCAUUCCUCUUGCCAGGACCUUCAGCAUGCCUUCAACCCUGCCGAUGAGCAGACAUCUCCAGGAACUGAAACCACCCUGUAUUGUGACAAUGUUGAACAGAAAUGUUCACGACCGCCUUCCAGCCCACCCAGUGCAUCAGACAAUUUAGAAAAUUCGUGAUUCAUAUGGUUUUACUAUUAUGUUAACAACAAAACCUACACUUAUUUGAAACCUUUUGUGAUGCUCUUUUCUUCUUUAGCAACAUUAAAUUAUAAACCUAUGAUAAAGCU